CCUACGGGAGGCAGCAGUGGGGAAUAUUGCGCAAUGGGCGAAAGCCUGACGCAGCGACGCCGCGUGAGGGAUGAAGGUCUUCGGAUCGUAAACCUCUGUCAGCAGGGAAGAACGGUCACUGUGCUAAUCAGCAGUGAAUUGACGGUACCUGCAAAGGAAGCACCGGCUAACUCCGUGCCAGCAGCCGCGGUAAUACGGAGGGGGCGAGCGUUAAUCGGAAUUACUGGGCGUAAAGCGCUCGUAGGCGGUAUGUCAAGUCAAGGGUGAAAUCCCCGCGCUCAACGUGGGAACUGCCUUUGAAACUGGCAAACUGGAGUGUGGGAGAGGAUAGUGGAAUUCGAGGUGUAGGAGUGAAAUCCGUAGAUAUCUGGAGGAACAUCAGUGGCGAAGGCGACUAUCUGGAACAUAACUGACGCUGAGGAGCGAAAGCGUGGGUAGCAAACAGGAUGAGAUACCCUUGUAGUC
This 465-nucleotide ribosomal RNA is filed under the name uncultured bacterium. RNAcentral's name for it is "partial 16S ribosomal RNA". It matches the Rfam family "Bacterial small subunit ribosomal RNA", at positions 338 to 795 of the family's 1533-position model. The record is from RNAcentral.